Molecule: non-coding RNA, 45 nt
Organism: Takifugu rubripes (torafugu)
Lineage: Eukaryota; Metazoa; Chordata; Actinopteri; Tetraodontiformes; Tetraodontidae
Source: Rfam
ACAAAGGCUCUUUUAAGAGCCACAACAAGUCUGUUCAAGGAGCAU